GACAGAGGGUGCAAACGUUGUUCGGAAUUACUGGGCGUAAAGCGAGUGUAGGCGGUCUCGUAAGUCGGGUGUGAAAGCCCCGGGCUCAACCCGGGAAGUGCACUCGAAACUGCGAGGCUAGAGUAUCGGAGAGGUUGGUGGAAUUCUCGGUGUAGAGGUGAAAUUCGUAGAUAUUCGCAAGAACACCAGUGGCGAAGGCGGCUCACUGGCCCGGUACUGACGCUGAGGUGCGAAAGCGUGGGGAGCAAACAGGG
This 254-nucleotide ribosomal RNA is filed under the name uncultured bacterium. Its description in RNAcentral is "partial 16S ribosomal RNA". It matches the Rfam family "Bacterial small subunit ribosomal RNA", at positions 524 to 777 of the family's 1533-position model. The record is from RNAcentral.